AAUGGCUUAGUGGCGCACGGGUGAGUAACACGUGAAUGACAUGCCCUGCAGAGGGGGAUAGCCCAGGGAAACUUGGAUUAAUACCCCAUGGUAUCGCAAGAUUAAACGGUGGCCGCAAGGCUGUCGCUGCAGGAUUGGUUCGCGCCCUAUCAGCUAGUUGGCGGGGUAACGGCCCACCAAGGCUACGACGGGUACCUGGUCUGAGAGGACGAUCAGGCACACUGGAACUGAGACACGGUCCAGACACCUACGGGUGGCAGCAGUCGAGAAUAAUUCACAAUGGGGGCAACCCUGAUGGUGCAACGCCGCGUGGAGGAUGAAGGUCUUCGGAUUGUAAACUCCUGUCAUCCGGGAGCAAGACCUGGGAGUGAAUAGCUCACAGGGUUGAUAGUACCGGAAGAGGAAGGGACGGCUAACUUCGUGCCAGCAGCCGCGGUAAUACGAAGGUCCCGAGCGUUGUUCGGAAUCACUGGGCGUAAAGGGAGCGUAGGCGGUGCGGUAAGUCAGAUGUGAAAUCCCGGGGCUCAACCCCGGAACUGCAUCCGAUACUGCCGUGCUAGA
Molecule: ribosomal RNA, 561 nt
Filed under: uncultured bacterium
Lineage: Bacteria
Description: bacterial SSU rRNA
Rfam family: Bacterial small subunit ribosomal RNA
Source: RNAcentral